This 253-nucleotide ribosomal RNA is filed under the name uncultured bacterium. RNAcentral describes it as "partial 16S ribosomal RNA". It matches the Rfam family "Bacterial small subunit ribosomal RNA", at positions 524 to 776 of the family's 1533-position model. The record is from RNAcentral.
UACGUAGGGAGCGAGCGUUGUCCGGAAUUACUGGGUGUAAAGGGAGCGUAGGCGGGACGGCAAGUCAGAUGUGAAAACUGAGGGCUCAACCUUCAGACUGCAUUUGAAACUGCUGUUCUUGAGUGAAGUAGAGGUAAGCGGAAUUCCUAGUGUAGCGGUGAAAUGCGUAGAUAUUAGGAGGAACAUCGGUGGCGAAGGCGGCUUACUGGGCUUUUACUGACGCUGAGGCUCGAAAGCGUGGGGAGCAAACAGG